RNAcentral lists this transfer RNA (71 nucleotides) under Hanseniaspora uvarum. It matches the Rfam family "tRNA". Rfam says of the family: Transfer RNA (tRNA) molecules are approximately 80 nucleotides in length. Their secondary structure includes four short double-helical elements and three loops (D, anti-codon, and T loops). Lineage: Eukaryota; Fungi; Ascomycota; Saccharomycetes; Saccharomycodales; Saccharomycodaceae. The record is from Rfam by way of RNAcentral.
GUACUAAUAGUAUAAUGGUAAUACAGAUAUUUUGUAAAUAUCAAAUAGGAGUUCGAUUCUCUUUUAGUACA